RNAcentral lists this long non-coding RNA (304 nucleotides) under Nicotiana benthamiana. RNAcentral's name for it is "long non-coding RNA (NBEN_LNC021348)". Lineage: Eukaryota; Viridiplantae; Streptophyta; Magnoliopsida; Solanales; Solanaceae. The record is from RNAcentral.
AAUGUGUAGGGAGUCUCCUGAAAUGUUGUUCUGUAGUCCCUAAGUAAAUAUCCAGCAAAUGAGGAUCUUCCGGGAUACUAUCCCAUAGUCUCAAACAUAAACAAACAUGCAGGGGAAUCUUCCGAAAUAUCAUUCCAUAGUCCCAAAGUAAAUAUAUACAAAUCAACCGACAUAAACAACAAUUUCAACAAGGAAUUCUAAAGUUUAGAUUAAGUUUAUAUCAAAGAAGACAGGUAAUUUAGCAUUAAACAUGCUACACAGAGUUCAGUUAGGUAGUUAAGGCAAUUAAGAGAGUUAAGGCACG